Molecule: long non-coding RNA, 445 nt
Organism: Ostrea edulis (European flat oyster)
Lineage: Eukaryota; Metazoa; Mollusca; Bivalvia; Ostreida; Ostreidae
Exons: 2
Source: RefSeq, a predicted model, not a curated record
AUAGAUAAUGGUGUUCCAGUAGCAUUGUGGUUUACGCAGUCACCUCACGCCGUUUUGACACGAAAUAGAUCCUCAUCAUUGACAAUGGGAUGGUAUGGCGAUCGUCCACUCGAACACGUGGACUGAACGCCUGGAAAAUGAUGCAUGACACAACGAAACUAGCACUGGAAAACAAAAACAAGAAGAAAAUAUAGAAUAACUGUGAAAAAAUGCCAUUUUACUUUGAAUCAACCACAGUACUUACCAUUAUAGGGAUCCAACAAGCAGCAUGUGUAACCAAGAUAGCGAUUAAAAAGAUUAAAAUGUAGACUUCGUUCCUUCUCUCGCGCUUUUUCCCUUUGACGCUUUUCAUACUCCCUCGACGAGCACUGCGCGUCCCCUUGCAAAUGGCAUAAAUAACUAAACAAUUGAAAACUGAUGACGAUAUAAUGCUAAGAAUUCCCAG